This 87-nucleotide microRNA precursor is filed under the name Myotis lucifugus (little brown bat). RNAcentral's name for it is "miRNA (ENSMLUG00000027203.1)". It matches the Rfam family "mir-3085 microRNA precursor family". The record is from RNAcentral. Lineage: Eukaryota; Metazoa; Chordata; Mammalia; Chiroptera; Vespertilionidae.
CCCUGCUCUGGGGAGGUGCCAUUCUGAGGGCCAGGAGUUUGAUUAUGUGUCACUCUGGCUGCUAUGGCCCCCUCCCAGGGUCUGGGC